Molecule: ribosomal RNA, 1514 nt
Filed under: Flavobacterium columnare
Lineage: Bacteria; Pseudomonadati; Bacteroidota; Flavobacteriia; Flavobacteriales; Flavobacteriaceae
Also listed under: 1 other name
Description: bacterial SSU rRNA
Rfam family: Bacterial small subunit ribosomal RNA
Source: RNAcentral
ACGAUGAAGAGUUUGAUCCUGGCUCAGGAUGAACGCUAGCGGCAGGCUUAACACAUGCAAGUCGAGGGGUAGAAGGAGCUUGCUCCUUUGAGACCGGCGCACGGGUGCGUAACGCGUAUGCAAUCUGCCUUGUACAGGGGAUAGCCCAGAGAAAUUUGGAUUAAUACCCCAUAGUAUUAUUAAAUGGCAUCAUUUAAUUAUUAAAGUUCCAACGGUACAAGAUGAGCAUGCGUCCCAUUAGCUAGUUGGUGUGGUAACGGCACACCAAGGCAACGAUGGGUAGGGGUCCUGAGAGGAGAUCCCCCACACUGGUACUGAGACACGGACCAGACUCCUACGGGAGGCAGCAGUGAGGAAUAUUGGUCAAUGGACGCAAGUCUGAACCAGCCAUGCCGCGUGCAGGAUGACGGUCCUAUGGAUUGUAAACUGCUUUUGUACAGGAAGAAACACUCCCUUGCGAGGAACUUGACGGUACUGUAAGAAUAAGGAUCGGCUAACUCCGUGCCAGCAGCCGCGGUAAUACGGAGGAUCCAAGCGUUAUCCGGAAUCAUUGGGUUUAAAGGGUCCGUAGGCGGUUUUAUAAGUCAGUGGUGAAAUCUGGUCGCUCAACGAUCAAACGGCCAUUGAUACUGUAAGACUUGAAUUACUUGGAAGUAACUAGAAUAUGUAGUGUAGCGGUGAAAUGCUUAGAGAUUACAUGGAAUACCAAUUGCGAAGGCAGGUUACUACGAGUACAUUGACGCUGAUGGACGAAAGCGUGGGGAGCGAACAGGAUUAGAUACCCUGGUAGUCCACGCCGUAAACGAUGGAUACUAGCUGUUUGGAGCAAUCUGAGUGGCUAAGCGAAAGUGAUAAGUAUCCCACCUGGGGAGUACGCUCGCAAGAGUGAAACUCAAAGGAAUUGACGGGGGCCCGCACAAGCGGAGGAGCAUGUGGUUUAAUUCGAUGAUACGCGAGGAACCUUACCAAGGCUUAAAUGGGAAACGACAGAUUUGGAAACAGAUCUUUCUUCGGACGUUUUUCAAGGUGCUGCAUGGUUGUCGUCAGCUCGUGCCGUGAGGUGUCAGGUUAAGUCCUAUAACGAGCGCAACCCCUGUUGCUAGUUGCCAGCGAGUCAAGUCGGGAACUCUAGCAAGACUGCCGGUGCAAACCGUGAGGAAGGUGGGGAUGACGUCAAAUCAUCACGGCCCUUACGCCUUGGGCUACACACGUGCUACAAUGGACGGUACAGAGAGCAGCCACUACGCAAGUAGGCGCGAAUCUACAAAACCGUUCUCAGUUCGGAUCGGAGUCUGCAACUCGACUCCGUGAAGCUGGAUUCGCUAGUAAUCGCAGAUCAGCCAUGCUGCGGUGAAUACGUUCCCGGGCCUUGUACACACCGCCCGUCAAGCCAUGGAAGCUGGGGGUACCUGGAAGUCGGUGACCGCAAGGAGCUGCCUAGGGUAAAACUGGUAACUAGGGCUAAGUCGUAACAAGGUAGCCGUACCGGAAGGUGCGGCUGGAACACCUCCUUU